GAGGAGGAUCUAAGGUUCCAGUGGGUAGUGACUCGCAAAAUGUGGUCCAGCCGCCUUUCCAGCAACCCAUGCUGGUCCCUGUGAGCCAGUCUGUGCAAGGAGGCCUCCCAGCAGCGGGGGUACCAGUGUACUAUAGCAUGAUCCCACCUGCUCAGCAGAACGGUACGAGGUGAGGACUCCCAGAGAGCCAGGACAGGACAUCUCCCAUAGACCUUCAGCAACAGUUGCAUCAUGGUUUUGUUUCCACUGGCCUAAGAAAGGCAGGGGUAAAGAUCCCAGUAGUUCCCUAAAGCAGGGGAGGACCAGGAAGCAGCAGCUGUUUGCCAGGAGCUGUGUUCAUCCCUCUACUGCUUCACCACUCCUCUCUUCUCUGUCUUCCCAGCCCUUCUGUAGGGUUUCUGCAACCCCCUGGCUCUGAGCAGUACCAGAUGCCUCAGUCUCCCUCUCCCUGCAGUCCACCACAGAUGCCACAGCAGUACUCAGGAGUGUCACCUUCUGGACCAGGUGUAGUGGUCAUGCAGCUGAAUGUCCCUAAUGGACCCCAGCCCCCUCAGAACCCAUCCAUGGUCCAGUGGAGUCAUUGUAAAUACUACAGCAUGGACCAGCGGGGGCAGAAGCCUGGAGACCUGUACAGUCCUGACAGCAGCCCCCAGGCCAACACACAAAUGAGCAGCAGCCCUGUCACAUCUCCUACCCAGUCUCCAGCACCCU
RNAcentral lists this long non-coding RNA (711 nucleotides) under Homo sapiens (human). Its description in RNAcentral is "non-protein coding lnc-R3HDM2-1:4". The record is from RNAcentral. Lineage: Eukaryota; Metazoa; Chordata; Mammalia; Primates; Hominidae.